Long non-coding RNA from Hipposideros armiger (great roundleaf bat), 722 nucleotides. RefSeq lists it as uncharacterized. The record is from RefSeq and is a predicted model, not a curated record. The transcript has 2 exons. NCBI's taxonomy places the organism in Eukaryota, Metazoa, Chordata, Mammalia, Chiroptera, Hipposideridae.
CGCCGGAGCCGUAUUUAAAAUAUGGAUUCGUUUUUCAAAUAAACUUUUAAAUGCACACGACAGUACAGUAUCCUGCACUAACACUCACUGCAACGGAAAGACCAAUUGACGAGGUAAGCCUAUCUAAAUGGCAAAAAAAAAAAAAAAUCAUUUAAAAACAUUUUCUCGUUUAUGCCAUCUCCUCGGUGAAAGGCGGGCUAGGCCCCCAAUCACAUGAGCCCGCCCCCAGCUCCGGGCGGAAGAGGCCGGCCCUGCCGCUGGGAAACGCUCCUGGAGGCGAGUGGGCGGGCGACCGUGCCCGGCUAAAAGAUGGCCGUCACUGCCGCCGCCGUCGCCCGGCAGCCGCCGCCCCGGAGGUUACUCUAGGGCCUGCAGGUUCUGCCCGUUCCCGCGGACUGCCGUCGCCUUCUUACCAUGAAGCCAGUGAGUCGCCGCACUCUGGACUGGAUUUAUUCAGUGUUGCUCCUCGCGAUCGUAUUACUCUCCUGGGGAUAUGUCCUCUAUGCGUCAACAGUAGCGGCUCGACGACAGCUAAGGAAGGCGUACCCAGACAAAAUCUUCGGGAUGAAUGAAAAUUUGUAAUUCCUCUAGAUUUUAUUCUAUGCAAAUGCUUCUCUGGCAUGUGUCUAGAUUUAAAGUAAAGUCUAUAAUACAGUUUCCAAUUUUAUUUUUGCCUACAGCCCUUUAUAAUAAACCGCUCUAAUAUGCUAAUUUUUCAACUA